AAUAACCGCCGGACUCGUCCGGUAAGGGUGAAAAGGUGAGGUAAGAGCUCACCGGGUCCCGUAGCGAUACGGGAUGCCGUACGUCUUAUGGGUUGUAAGGUCAUGUAUACCGGCGCAUGUAGGAUGGCUCGUCCGAUGCCGGGGGGUAGACCGCUAAAGCUUACCGGCGACGGUAAGACAAGAUAAAUGGCAGGCGCCUCUUUCCAAAGAGGUACAGGACCCGGCUUAUAGGCAGACUGCUUUU
RNAcentral lists this RNase P RNA (244 nucleotides) under Parabacteroides sp. Its description in RNAcentral is "partial RNase P RNA component class A". It matches the Rfam family "Bacterial RNase P class A", at positions 119 to 367 of the family's 367-position model. Rfam says of the family: Ribonuclease P (RNase P) is a ubiquitous endoribonuclease, found in archaea, bacteria and eukarya as well as chloroplasts and mitochondria. The record is from RNAcentral. Lineage: Bacteria; Pseudomonadati; Bacteroidota; Bacteroidia; Bacteroidales; Tannerellaceae.